UUCUUCUUACCAUCAAGUUCUGUGUCGCAACGAUCCCUUCCUCCCCGUGCUCCCUCUCGGGACAUUGGGAUGUGUGAGGUUGAUUGUUCGCGAACGUCUCGACUAUUUUUGUGGAGCCAUUAUCGCACUUCCAUUAAUGACUGAACCCAGUCGACAGAACUGAGAUUGACCCGAGACCUUUUCGCGCCCCUCGGGGCAAGGUCCGUCUUGAGCUCGCCUCUCUCUCGGGAGGUUGAGCUCGACGGGCUGAAAAUGGUGUGUAGGGAGACGUCUUAUUCCCAAGCUUGGUGUGAUCCUCGUCGAGGAAUGACCAUUGGGCGAAACCAAGGCUAUUGUCUACAUUC
RNAcentral lists this small RNA (344 nucleotides) under Exophiala xenobiotica. RNAcentral's name for it is "A. fumigatus sRNA Afu_309". It matches the Rfam family "A. fumigatus sRNA Afu_309". Lineage: Eukaryota; Fungi; Ascomycota; Eurotiomycetes; Chaetothyriales; Herpotrichiellaceae. The record is from Rfam by way of RNAcentral.